Molecule: long non-coding RNA, 1738 nt
Organism: Mizuhopecten yessoensis (Yesso scallop)
Lineage: Eukaryota; Metazoa; Mollusca; Bivalvia; Pectinida; Pectinidae
Exons: 2
Source: RefSeq, a predicted model, not a curated record
CUUAAAAUCAAUUUCUAAUAGGCCGAUUUAACUGAAACUCUGUCUAGGAAUGAUCAACUCAUGGUCCUGACAAACUUACCUUAACAUUAUGCUUAACUUUUAUUUACUCAAAUUGGUAGGGAUGAUGGACAUCAAUAUCUCCACUUCAUAUUUCAACAACAAAACUAAAAACUAGGAUUCAGGUGACCGUGAAGGCCCUGGGGCCUCUUGUUCUAUUAUAGUAAUUAUACAUUGAGUAUGUCAUGUGUACACGUAUAUGAAGAUGUCACUGGAAUUUUGGGUAAAAAAAUAGGUUGUCUCAAAUCACUUUCUUCUGAUAAGGAGAUCUUGAAUUGUGUACAUCUAAUAUCAACGUCCAUUGAACUAUCACUUUGAAUGUUCAUGGAAGUUUUUCUGUACCUGUAUAUGAAUUCAGUGUAAAAUGCACAAAAAAUGUAUUUUUAAUAAAACUUAUAGCAUAAUACACGUUUGCAAUCAAAUAAACUACAUUGUGUUUACCAAACAGGAUAUAUUAUUUCAUCAGACAUUGAUUUUUUUUCCAGCUUGAUAUUAAAGAUUAGGUGUUUCUUGUAUGAAUUUCAUUUGUUGUAGAAUUAACAAAGUUAACUUCAAACUUCAGCAUGGACUAUAUUUUAUGUUUAUUAAUACGGCUUCAAUAUAAAAAAAUUAUAGCUAUAAACACAGUAUUCCAUAGUUGUCAAGCCCUGAUUUCAGAAGAAAAAAAUAGGCAGGUAUUAGUAAUAGUCUUAAAAUUAAAUGUCUGCAAAUGAAAAAAAAACUGCCAACGUCUUUAAUAGGUCACUUCCAAAUAAUGUACACAACUGUUGUCACUAUGGUUACAUGUAACUACAGACAGGAAUAAUGUACACAACUGUAGUCACUUUGGUUACAUGAAACUACAGACAGGAAUAAAGUACACAACUGUUGUCACUAUGGUUACAUGUAACUACAGACAGGAAUAAUGUACAAUGGUACGCCAAAUGAUCUUACUCGUUAAUCAAACAACGAUCAGAGGACUACGCCAGCUGAUGCGUUUUCCACAAUUUGUUUGUAAAAAAGUAAAGGUAUUCGACAGUAACUAGAGAUGGCUAUAUCUGUUACAAAAAAGUAAAGGUAUUCAACAGUAACUAGAGAUGGCUAUAUCUGUUACAAAAAAGGUAACUGAACUAUUUUGUGUUUAAUUGAACGAAGUGAAAAAUAUUUUGUGGUUGAUUGAACAAAGUGAAGCGUAAUGUUAUAAGCAGUGUGUAUGUUAAUAUAACUAGUGUAUACCACAUCUUGUGGUUUACAAAAAAAUCAUUUAUGUUUCUCAUAGUGAAUAAACAAUUUUGAUGAAAAUUCAUGACCUAAAAGAGCCGAUUAAAUAAAGUUAACCACCAAUGUUGAUAUGGAAACCUAACUUGGAACGGAGGAAUUAAUCCGUUUUUCUCGUAGUUAUGAUCAGUAAUUGACAGGAUCAUCAACUGGAAAGCUACUUCUUCAUUAGAAUCAAUUUAACUGGCGUGGAGCUAUUUAUGUAGCAAAAACUACUUCACAGAAAACUAAUUUAAUUUUGAAAUUUCAAGAAAUCGGGGCUUGGCACCUCAUGGACUUGUGCUGUCUGAAGAGAACUAUUUAUGUUGGUUACAGAAUAUCAAGGAUAUCUUUUGUUAAAGUGCAUUUUGAUUCUUUCUCAUUUGUUUAUUAUCAACGCUUCGUUAAUUAAAACUUCUGGUAAAUUUUAUACCUGUCAACUAUU